GACUUCGUGGCUUUGUGGUAAAAGCCUUGCCUUGCAAUGCAGAGGUUGCUGGUUCAAAUCUGGCUUGUGUCU
Pangasius djambal is the source of this 72-nucleotide non-coding RNA. The record is from the annotation of a GenBank genome assembly. Lineage: Eukaryota; Metazoa; Chordata; Actinopteri; Siluriformes; Pangasiidae.